This 280-nucleotide ribosomal RNA is filed under the name Escherichia albertii. RNAcentral's name for it is "partial 16S ribosomal RNA". It matches the Rfam family "Bacterial small subunit ribosomal RNA", at positions 470 to 749 of the family's 1533-position model. The record is from RNAcentral. Lineage: Bacteria; Pseudomonadati; Pseudomonadota; Gammaproteobacteria; Enterobacterales; Enterobacteriaceae.
UGACGUUACCCGCAGAAGAAGCACCGGCUAACUCCGUGCCAGCAGCCGCGGUAAUACGGAGGGUGCAAGCGUUAAUCGGAAUUACUGGGCGUAAAGCGCACGCAGGCGGUUUGUUAAGUCAGAUGUGAAAUCCCCGGGCUCAACCUGGGAACUGCAUCUGAUACUGGCAAGCUUGAGUCUCGUAGAGGGGGGUAGAAUUCCAGGUGUAGCGGUGAAAUGCGUAGAGAUCUGGAGGAAUACCGGUGGCGAAGGCGGCCCCCUGGACGAAGACUGACGCUCA